Molecule: ribosomal RNA, 403 nt
Filed under: uncultured bacterium
Lineage: Bacteria
Description: partial 16S ribosomal RNA
Rfam family: Bacterial small subunit ribosomal RNA
Source: RNAcentral
AUUGAACGCUGGCGGCAGGCCUAACACAUGCAAGUCGAGCGAGCGGCGGACGGGUGUGUAAUGUAUGGGGACUGCCCGAUAGCGGGGGAUAACUACUGGAAACGGUGGCUAAUACCGCAUACUAUCGGAUAACCCAUAUGGGACUAGCUAGUAGGUGGGGUAAAGGCUCACCUAGGCGACGAUCCCUAGUUGGUCUUAGAGGAUGAUCAGCCACACGGGGACCGAGACAAGGCCCAGAAUCCUGCGGAGGCAGCAGUGGGGAAUAUUGCACAAUGGGGGCAAGCCUGAAGCAGCCAUGCCGCGUGUAUGAAGGAGGCCUUAGGGUUGGAAAGUACUUUCAGCGGGGAAACGUUACCCGCAGAGGAAGCACCGGCUAACUACGUGCCAGCUGCCGCGGUAAUAC